This 503-nucleotide long non-coding RNA is filed under the name Nicotiana tabacum (common tobacco). RNAcentral describes it as "long non-coding RNA (NTAB_LNC016940)". Lineage: Eukaryota; Viridiplantae; Streptophyta; Magnoliopsida; Solanales; Solanaceae. The record is from RNAcentral.
GAAAAGUUCAGUUUAGGGUUGGGGCCCUAAUGCUGACUGAAUGGACAGAAGUUCAGUUUUAGGGUUGACACCCUAAUGCUGACUAAGGAAAAGUUUAGUUUAGGGUUUUAAAACCCUAAUCCUGAUUAAAGGGAAAAGUUCAGUUUAGGGUUUAAAACCCUAAUGCUGACUAAAGGGAAGAGCUCAGUUUAGGGUUUAAAACCCUAAUCCUGAUUAAAGGGAAAAGUUCAGUUUAGGGUUUAAAACCCUAAUGCUGACUAAAGGGAAGAGUUCAGUUUAAGGUUUAAAACCCUAAUGCUGACUAAAUGGAAAGAGUUCAGUUUAAGGUUUAAAACCCUAAUGCUGACUAAAUGGAAAAGUUUAGUUUAGGGUUUAAAACCCUAAUCCUGAUUAAAGGGAAAAGUUCAGUUUAGGGUAUAAAACCCUAAUAUUGAUUAAAGGGAAAAGUUCAGUUUAGGGUUUAAAACCCUAAUGCUGACUAAAGGGAAGAGUUCAGUUUAAGG